AGUGAACGCUGGCGGUAGGCCUAACACAUGCAAGUCGAACGGCAGCACAGUAAGAGCUUGCUCUGACGGGGGGGAGGGGCGGACGGGUGAGGAAAACGUUCGUAACCUGCUUUUUCCUGGGGGAUAACGGAGGGAAACUUUGGCUAAUACGGGAUAUUCCCUAUGGGUGAAAUGAUGGGUCUUGGGAACCUUGCGCGUUGGAAUGGGCCGAUGUCGGAUUAGCUAGUUGGCGGGGUAAGGGCCCACCAAGGCGACGAUCCGUAGCUGGUCUGAGAGGAUGAUCAGCCACACUGGAACUGAGACACGGUCCAGACUCCUACGGGAGGCAGCAGUGGGGAAUAUUGGACCAUGGGCGCAAGCCUGAUCCAGCCGUACCGCGUGGGUGAAGAAGGCCUUCGGGUUGUAAAGCCCUUUUGUUGGGAAAGAAAAGCAGCAGGUUAAUACCCCGCUGUUCUGACGGUACCCAAAGAAUAAGCACCGGCUAACUUCGUG
This 492-nucleotide ribosomal RNA is filed under the name uncultured bacterium. Its description in RNAcentral is "partial 16S ribosomal RNA". It matches the Rfam family "Bacterial small subunit ribosomal RNA", at positions 29 to 507 of the family's 1533-position model. The record is from RNAcentral.